Molecule: long non-coding RNA, 905 nt
Organism: Homo sapiens (human)
Lineage: Eukaryota; Metazoa; Chordata; Mammalia; Primates; Hominidae
Product: chromosome 5 open reading frame 60-like
Exons: 4
Source: RefSeq, marked validated
GCUUUCCAGCUUGCAGAAGUCUCUUGAAAGAACUAGAGAACACUAAGGACCACACUCUCCUGCUGGAAAAGCGCCUGAAGAAGCUCUCUAGGGAGGGCAGCUCCCAUCACCUUCCACGCCAAGUCCGCCCAGGGCCAGUGUACAAACCAGCACCUGCUAGGAACCACCGGCCACGUGGGGGGCGUGGGAAAGCUUCUCCCACCAGCUUCCAUGUGUCCCCACGGGCUCCCCUGGCUCCUCUGGCCUCCAUGCCGUCAUCAGUCCCGAAGACCUCCAUAGAGUCCCUUGGGUCUCCAUCAUCCCUGAGCUCCUCCCAGGCAUCAGAGCCUCUGUGUCCCCUGAAGCACCCUUCACACCGGCCACCUGCGAGCACCCUAUCACCAAACCUGACCAGCUCCACAGAAUCCUUGGGGGAGACCCCACAUGCAGGCAGGCGGAGGCAGGGGUCCCGCUUUCCUCAGCCUGGAUGUGCCAACGCUGCUGGACGCACAAGACACCAAAAUCCCAGACACUCCCAUGGACACCGAAUAUCCGACAUCCACGAACAAUUGGGAAUCUCCUGAGGACAACUUGGAGAUGGAGUCUCACUCUGUUGCUCAGGCUGGAGUGCAGUGGCACCAUCUUGGCUCACCACAACCUCCGCCUCCCGGAUUCAAGCCAUUCUCCUGCCUCAGCCUCCCGAGUAACUGGGAUUACAGGCUUGUGCCACCGCACCCAGCUAAUUUUUGUAAUUUUAGUCGAGAGAAGGUGUCACCAUGUUGGCCAGGCUUGUCUUGAACUCCUGACCUUGAGAUAUCUGCCCACCUCAGCCUCUCAAAGUGCUGGGAUUAUAGGCUUGAGCCACCACGGCUGGAUGAAUCACAAAUUGUAAACCUGAAUAAAAUGCUGCAACCUCCAAUGAGAGG